AUGAGGAAGCGAAAAGCACCAACAACUAGGGGGAUAAAUUCCCUUUUCACGCCAGUUGGGUCAACUUCAAGCUCCAACAUUACUGGUGCCGAAAAUGUGAUUCCAUCUGAGGAGCAACCUGUUGCAGAUAACCAAACAAAUGAUAUUCCUGUUGAUAUGCAAACUGAUGAGCAACAGGUUAUGGCACCGGAAGAAGUUGCAGCAGGAGAAGGUACAGUUGAAAGCACAAAAUAUGUAAGGGACCCCGGCAUGCGCCAGCAAAUUUGGGAACUCCCUCAUGAUGAGCAAGAAGAAGCACGCCGCUUCUAUAUUUUGAAGGGAGCUUAUCAACCAUACAUGAGAGAAUAUCCAUAUAAUAAAACAGGAAAAAAUCAUCGUCGAUUUCAAUACAGUUAUUUCAAUUCUUUUCCUUGGCUUGAGUAUUCGAUGGAAACACAUCGUGCGUACUGCCUACCUUGUUUUCUCUUCACAAAAAGGCCAAGUGGAAGGUGUGGCUCUGAUGCAUUCACGGUCAAGGGAUUUAAUAAUUGGAAGAAGGUGAAUGAUGGAAACGAAUGUGCUUUCUUAACUCACAUGGGCAAAGAUUCCAACUCCGCUCAUAACUUUUCUCAGCGGUGUCAUGAUAAUCUGAAAAAUAGUUUGACUCACAUCGACAAGGCAAUGGUGAAAGUGUGUGCAAAAAAGGUCGCAGAUGCAAGGCUAAGGCUUAAAGUUACAAUUGAUUGCAUCAAAUGGUUAACAUUCCAAGCUUGUGCUUAUAGAGGCCAUAACGAAUCUCCGGGAUCAAGUAAUCAGGGUAAUUUUCUUCAUCUGCUGAGGUUCUUGGCUUCUUAUAGCAAAGAGGUGAAUGUGGUUGUUUUGGAAAAUGCUCCAAGGAAUGCGAAGUACACCUCCCAUACAGUGCAACUAGAAAUCCUCACAUUACUUUCUAGUAGAGUUAAGGAAAAAAUUAGAGAUGAAAUUGGUACUAGCAAGUUCUGCAUAAUGGUAGAUGAAGCACGAGAUGAAUCAAAGAAAGAGCAAAUGGCAUUGGUUCUUCGAUUCCCGAGCACCGAGGGGUUCAUACAGGAGCGUUUUCUUGAUGUAAUUCAUGUCACUGAUACUACUGCUUUGACUCUCAAGAAGGCAAUUUGCAAAGUCCUUUCUGAUAAUAAUUUGAAUGUCCAAGACAUUAGAGGACAAGGCUAUGACAGGGCAAGUAAUAUGAGAGGUGAAUGGAAUGGAUUGAAGGCUCUAAUUCUGAAUGACUGCCCUUAUGCAUAUUAUGUGCAUUGCAUGGCUCAUCAGUUACAGUUGGCGCUUGUUGCCGCGUCAAGGGAGGUACAUGAUGUGCAUAACUUUUUCCAAAAUGCAAAUUUCAUUAUAAAUGUUGUUAGCGCAUCGACUAAACGUAAUGAUGAGUUGUUAGCAAAUAAAUCUGCGGAGAUUGAGGUCCUAAGGAGUAUAGCAAAUGACCGUGCAGCCUCGAAAUAUUCUAGAGGAGAUGCCGUAGGAGCCAUAAAAAUAAUUAUGUCAUUUGAUUUUGUGUUCAUUUUACAUCUAAUGGAGAAAAUCAUGAAAAUCACUGAUGUUUUAUGUCAAACACUCCAAAAGAAGUCACUAGAUAUUCUGAAUGCAUUAGAUUUGGUCUCAACCACAAAGGUGCUACUUGGUAAGCUGAGAGAAGAUGGUUGGGAUCCCCUUCUUCAGGAGGUUCAAUCUUUUUGUUUGAAGCAUGAGAUUGACAUCCCUGAUCUGAAUAAUGAUAACACUACUACAUUACAUCACUACAAAGCAGAUGUGUUCAAUGUUGCCAUAGAUCAGCAAAUGGUUGAGCUAAAUGAUCGUUUCGGUGUUCAAAACACAGAGCUUUUGACACUUUGUGCAUGUAAAGCUGUUACGUACUCAAUGGUUGAUAGAUUACUACGGUUGGUCAUAACUCUUCCGGUGUCAACCGCAACAACUGAGCGAGCUUUUUCAGCUAUGAAACUAGUCAAGACACGUCUUCGAAACAGAAUGGGAGACGACUUUCUUCGGCAUUACAUGGUCGUCUAUAUUGGGAAGGAAAUAGCUGCAAAGAUCACAUCUGAUGAGAUAAUCAAUUUGUUCGACACUGGUAGUCGUAGAGCUGAGUUUAAGCUAAUAGAUAUGUAA
RNAcentral lists this ribosomal RNA (2133 nucleotides) under Triticum aestivum (bread wheat). RNAcentral's name for it is "partial small subunit ribosomal RNA". The record is from RNAcentral. Lineage: Eukaryota; Viridiplantae; Streptophyta; Magnoliopsida; Poales; Poaceae.